AGUCGAGCGGGGAAAGGUAGCUUGCUACCUGACCUAGCGGCGGACGGGUGAGUAAUGCUUAGGAAUCUGCCUAUUAGUGGGGGACAACAUUCCGAAAGGAAUGCUAAUACCGCAUACGCCCUACGGGGGAAAGCAGGGGAUCUUCGGACCUUGCGCUAAUAGAUGAGCCUAAGUCAGAUUAGCUAGUUGGUGGGGUAAAGGCCUACCAAGGCGACGAUCUGUAGCGGGUCUGAGAGGAUGAUCCGCCACACUGGGACUGAGACACGGCCCAGACUCCUACGGGAGGCAGCAGUGGGGAAUAUUGGACAAUGGGCGAAAGCCUGAUCCAGCCAUGCCGCGUGUGUGAAGAAGGCCUUUUGGUUGUAAAGCACUUUAAGCGAGGAGGAGGCUACCGAGAUUAAUACUCUUGGAUAGUGGACGUUACUCGCAGAAUAAGCACCGGCUAACUCUGUGCCAGCAGCCGCGGUAAUACAGAGGGUGCGAGCGUUAAUCGGAUUUACUGGGCGUAAAGCGUGCGUAGGCGGCUUUUUAAGUCGGAUGUGAAAUCCCUGAGCUUAACUUAGGAAUUGCAUUCGAUACUGGGAAGCUAGAGUAUGGGAGAGGAUGGUAGAAUUCCAGGUGUAGCGGUGAAAUGCGUAGAGAUCUGGAGGAAUACCGAUGGCGAAGGCAGCCAUCUGGCCUAAUACUGACGCUGAGGUACGAAAGCAUGGGGAGCAAACAGGAUUAGAUACCCUGGUAGUCCAUGCCGUAAACGAUGUCUACUAGCCGUUGGGGCCUUUGAGGCUUUAGUGGCGCAGCUAACGCGAUAAGUAGACCGCCUGGGGAGUACGGUCGCAAGACUAAAACUCAAAUGAAUUGACGGGGGCCCGCACAAGCGGUGGAGCAUGUGGUUUAAUUCGAUGCAACGCGAAGAACCUUACCUGGUCUUGACAUAGUAAGAACUUUCCAGAGAUGGAUUGGUG
Molecule: ribosomal RNA, 962 nt
Filed under: Acinetobacter oryzae
Lineage: Bacteria; Pseudomonadati; Pseudomonadota; Gammaproteobacteria; Moraxellales; Moraxellaceae
Description: bacterial SSU rRNA
Rfam family: Bacterial small subunit ribosomal RNA
Source: RNAcentral